GGUGCAGGUGAUGAUUUAAAGCGACCAAAGCCUGAGAGUUUCUGAUUAUAACUUUUUUUAGCAACUGAUGUACC
Molecule: small nucleolar RNA, 74 nt
Filed under: Acanthisitta chloris (rifleman)
Lineage: Eukaryota; Metazoa; Chordata; Aves; Passeriformes; Acanthisittidae
Source: RNAcentral